GGGUUGUGAGGUUAAGCGACUAAGCGUACACGGUGGAUGCCCUGGCAGUCAGAGGCGAUGAAGGACGUGCUAAUCUGCGAAAAGCGUCGGUAAGGUGAUAUGAACCGUUAUAACCGGCGAUGUCCGAAUGGGGAAACCCAGUGCAAUUCGUUGCACUAUCGUUAACUGAAUACAUAGGUUAACGAGGCGAACCGGGGGAACUGAAACAUCUAAGUACCCCGAGGAAAAGAAAUCAACCGAGAUUCCCCCAGUAGCGGCGAGCGAACGGGGAGCAGCCCAGAGUCUGAAUCAGCUUGUGUGUUAGUGGAACGGUCUGGAAAGUCCGACGGUACAGGGUGAUAGUCCCGUACACCAAAAUGCACAGGUUGUGAACUCGAAGAGUAGGGCGGGACACGUGGUAUCCUGUCUGAAUAUGGGGGGACCAUCCUCCAAGGCUAAAUACUCCUGACUGACCGAUAGUGAACCAGUACCGUGAGGGAAAGGCGAAAAGAACCCCGGCGAGGGGAGUGAAAAAGAACCUGAAACCGUGUACGUACAAGCAGUGGGAGCACCUUCGGGUGUGACUGCGUACCUUUUGUAUAAUGGGUCAGCGACUUAUAUUCUGUAGCAAGGUUAACCGUAUAGGGGAGCCGCAGGGAAACCGAGUCUUAACUGGGCGUUAAGUUGCAGGGUAUAGACCCGAAACCCGGUGAUCUAGCCAUGGGCAGGUUGAAGGUUGGGUAACACUAACUGGAGGACCGAACCGACUAAUGUUGAAAAAUUAGCGGAUGACUUGUGGCUGGGGGUGAAAGGCCAAUCAAACCGGGAGAUAGCUGGUUCUCCCCGAAAGCUAUUUAGGUAGCGCCUCGUGAAUUCAUCUUCGGGGGUAGAGCACUGUUUCGGCUAGGGGGUCAUCCCGACUUACCAACCCGAUGCAAACUACGAAUACCGAAGAAUGUUAUCACGGGAGACACACGGCGGGUGCUAACGUCCGUCGUGAAGAGGGAAACAACCCAGACCGCCAGCUAAGGUCCCAAAGUCAUGGUUAAGUGGGAAACGAUGUGGGAAGGCACAGACAGCCAGGAUGUUGGCUUAGAAGCAGCCAUCAUUUAAAGAAAGCGUAAUAGCUCACUGGUCGAGUCGGCCUGCGCGGAAGAUGUAACGGGGCUAAACCAUGCACCGAAGCUGCGGCAGCGACACUAUGUGUUGUUGGGUAGGGGAGCGUUCUGUAAGCCUGCGAAGGUGACCUGUGAGGGUUGCUGGAGGUAUCAGAAGUGCGAAUGCUGACAUAAGUAACGAUAAAGCGGGUGAAAAGCCCGCUCGCCGGAAGACCAAGGGUUCCUGUCCAACGUUAAUCGGGGCAGGGUGAGUCGACCCCUAAGGCGAGGCCGAAAGGCGUAGUCGAUGGGAAACAGGUUAAUAUUCCUGUACUUGGUGUUACUGCGAAGGGGGGACGGAGAAGGCUAUGUUAGCCGGGCGACGGUUGUCCCGGUUUAAGCAUGUAGGCUGGUUGUCCAGGCAAAUCCGGAUAAUCAAGGCUGAGGUGUGAUGACGAGGCACUACGGUGCUGAAGUAACAAAUGCCCUGCUUCCAGGAAAAGCCUCUAAGCAUCAGGUAACAUUAAAUCGUACCCCAAACCGACACAGGUGGUCAGGUAGAGAAUACCAAGGCGCUUGAGAGAACUCGGGUGAAGGAACUAGGCAAAAUGGUGCCGUAACUUCGGGAGAAGGCACGCUGGUGUGUAGGUGAAGUCCCUGCGGAUGGAGCUGAGACCAGUCGAAGAUACCAGCUGGCUGCAACUGUUUAUUAAAAACACAGCACUGUGCAAACACGAAAGUGGACGUAUACGGUGUGACGCCUGCCCGGUGCCGGAAGGUUAAUUGAUGGGGUUAUCCGUAAGGAGAAGCUCUUGAUCGAAGCCCCGGUAAACGGCGGCCGUAACUAUAACGGUCCUAAGGUAGCGAAAUUCCUUGUCGGGU
Molecule: ribosomal RNA, 1958 nt
Filed under: Klebsiella pneumoniae
Lineage: Bacteria; Pseudomonadati; Pseudomonadota; Gammaproteobacteria; Enterobacterales; Enterobacteriaceae
Description: bacterial LSU rRNA
Rfam family: Bacterial large subunit ribosomal RNA
Source: RNAcentral